GCNACGCUGGCGGCGUGCCUAAUACAUGCAAGUCGAGCGGACCAAAGGGAGCUUGCUCCUGGAGGUUAGCGGCGAACGGGUGAGUAACACGUGGGCAACCUGCCUGUAAGACUGGGAUAACAUCGAGAAAUCGGUGCUAAUACCGGAUAAUAAAAAGAACUGCAUGGUUCUUUUUUGAAAGAUGGUUUCGGCUAUCACUUACAGAUGGGCCCGCGGCGCAUUAGCUAGUUGGUGGGGUAACGGCUCACCAAGGCGACGAUGCGUAGCCGACCUGAGAGGGUGAUCGGCCACACUGGGACUGAGACACGGCCCAGACUCCUACGGGAGGCAGCAGUAGGGAAUCUUCCGCAAUGGACGAAAGUCUGACGGAGCAACGCCGCGUGAGUGAUGAAGGUUUUCGGAUCGUAAAACUCUGUUGUUAGGGAAGAACAAGUGCCGUUCGAAAGGGCGGCACCUUGACGGUACCUAACGAGAAAGCCACGGCUAACUACGUGCCAGCAGCCGCGGU
Molecule: ribosomal RNA, 508 nt
Filed under: Bacillaceae bacterium LBD3
Lineage: Bacteria; Bacillati; Bacillota; Bacilli; Caryophanales; Bacillaceae
Description: bacterial SSU rRNA
Rfam family: Bacterial small subunit ribosomal RNA
Source: RNAcentral